This 404-nucleotide ribosomal RNA is filed under the name uncultured bacterium. RNAcentral's name for it is "bacterial SSU rRNA". It matches the Rfam family "Bacterial small subunit ribosomal RNA", at positions 28 to 415 of the family's 1533-position model. The record is from RNAcentral.
GAUGAACGCUGGCGGCGUGCUUAACACAUGCAAGUCGAACGAAGCACUGUUGAUAGAUUCUUCGGAUGAUAGAUACAGUGACUGAGUGGCGGACGGGUGAGUAACGCGUGGGUAACCUGCCUCAUACAGGGGGAUAACAGUUAGAAAUGACUGCUAAUACCGCAUAAGCGCACAGGACCGCAUGGUCUGGUGUGAAAAACUCCGGUGGUAUGAGAUGGACCCGCGUCUGAUUAGCUAGUUGGUGGGGUAACGGCCCACCAAGGCGACGAUCAGUAGCCGACCUGAGAGGUGACCGGCCACAUUGGGACUGAGACACGGCCCAAAUCCUACGGGAGCAGCAGUGGGAAUAUUGGGACAAUGGGGGAAACCCUGGAUCCAGCGAACGCCGCGUGAGUGAAGAAGUA